GGAUUAGAUACCCUGGUAGUCCACGCUGUAAACGAUGAGUGCUAGAUGUCGGGAACUAUGUUCUCGGUUUCGCAGCUAACGCAUUAAGCACUCCGCCUGGGGAGUACGGUCGCAAGAUUAAAACUCAAAGGAAUUGACGGGGGCUCGCACAAGCGGUGGAGCAUGCGCUUUAAUUCGAUGCUACGCGAAAAACCUUACCAACCCUUGACAUGGUGGUCGCGAAUCACAGAGAUGAGAUUCUUCAGUUCGGCUGGACCACACACAGGUGUUGCAUGGCUGUCGUCAGCUCGUGUUG
Molecule: ribosomal RNA, 295 nt
Filed under: uncultured bacterium
Lineage: Bacteria
Description: partial 16S ribosomal RNA
Rfam family: Bacterial small subunit ribosomal RNA
Source: RNAcentral